UGACCUCGGAUCAGGUAGGAAUACCCGCUGAACUUAAGCAUAUCAAUAAGCGGAGGAAAAGAAACCAACAGGGAUUGCCCUAGUAACGGCGAGUGAAGCGGCAACAGCUCAAAUUUGAAAUCUGGCUACUUUGUAGUCCGAGUUGUAAUUUGUAGAGGAUGCUUUUGGUGAGGUGCUUUCUGAGUUCCCUGGAACGGGACGCCAGAGAGGGUGAGAGCCCCGUACAGUUAGCAACUGAUCCUUUGUAUAGCUCCUUCGACGAGUCGAGUAGUUUGGGAAUGCUGCUCUAAAUGGGAGGUAUAUCUCUUCUAAAGCUAAAUAUAGGCUAGAGACCGAUAGCGCACAAGUAGAGUGAUCGAAAGAUGAAAAGCACUUUGAAAAGAGAGUUAAACAGCACGUGAAAUUGUUGAAAGGGAAGCGCCUAUGACCAGACUUGUCUCUAUCAGUUUUGGUAGUUUUCGGACUGCUUUACUCUGUUAGUACAGGCCAACAUCAGUUUGUUGUCGGGGAGAAAGGCUUAGGGAAUGUGGCUCCCUCGGGAGUGUUAUAGACCUUUGCAUAA
RNAcentral lists this ribosomal RNA (562 nucleotides) under Ambrosiella nakashimae. Its description in RNAcentral is "eukaryotic LSU rRNA". It matches the Rfam family "Eukaryotic large subunit ribosomal RNA", at positions 1 to 571 of the family's 3401-position model. The record is from RNAcentral. Lineage: Eukaryota; Fungi; Ascomycota; Sordariomycetes; Microascales; Ceratocystidaceae.